GAUGAACGCUGGCGGCGUGCCUAAUACAUGCAAGUCGAGCGAACAGACGAGGAGCUUGCUCCUCUGACGUUAGCGGCGGACGGGUGAGUAACACGUGGAUAACCUACCUAUAAGACUGGGAUAACUUCGGGAAACAGGAGCUAAUACCGGAUAAUAUAUUGAACCGCAUGGUUCAAUAGUGAAAGACGGUUUUGCUGUCACUUAUAGAUGGAUCCGCGCCGCAUUAGCUAGUUGGUAAGGUAACGGCUUACCAAGGCAACGAUGCGUAGCCGACCUGAGAGGGUGAUCAGCCACACUGGAACUGAGACACGGUCCAGACUCCUACGGGAGGCAGCAGUAGGGAAUCUUCCGCAAUGGGCGAAAGCCUGACGGAGCAACGCCGCGUGAGUGAUGAAGGUCUUCGGAUCGUAAAACUCUGUUAUUAGGGAAGAACAAAUGUGUAAGUAACUAUGCACGUCUUGACGGUACCUAAUCAGAAAGCCACGGCUAACUACGUG
Molecule: ribosomal RNA, 497 nt
Filed under: uncultured bacterium
Lineage: Bacteria
Description: partial 16S ribosomal RNA
Rfam family: Bacterial small subunit ribosomal RNA
Source: RNAcentral